UGCGCUGAAGUUCAAACACCAGAGAGAGCUUGCUGAUGAGGUUCCCAUGGAAAUACAACAGAUUCACCAAGUCAUCCCCCUUACUGACAUCAUUGAUGUUACCCAGGAGGAAAUACAGCUGAUUCACCAAGUCACCCCCCUUACUGACAUCAUUGAUGCUACCCAGGAGGAUACAUCUCUCCUCACGGAGGAAAUCUUCUUCUCUCAACGAAGCUCUCAUCACACAGCAUUCAGAAAGUUCUGGAUCAACUGUUCUGUUGGACCCGGCCCAGCCAGACCCUGAUGAGCCCAUCUUCAUCCUCUCCCUGACUGAAAUCCCUUUCUUCCCCACGGAGGAGGAGUAUGGCUGUACAUCCCAGACCCUCUCCGAGCCCCUCUCUUUUCUACCGGUCGCAGACGCAUGCUCUCAACUGCAGCAGAGCAGUGAUAUUGUUGGCCCUGGAUGUGGUUUGGAGGGAAGGGUAUGCUGGUAUCCUCUGUAAAGCCCCUGAGCCCA
Long non-coding RNA from Salvelinus sp. IW2-2015, 496 nucleotides. RefSeq lists it as uncharacterized. The record is from RefSeq and is a predicted model, not a curated record. NCBI's taxonomy places the organism in Eukaryota, Metazoa, Chordata, Actinopteri, Salmoniformes, Salmonidae.